UGUGCUAGACGGGGAGCUAGCGGUGCCCUGUGAACUGCAAUCCGCUACAGCAGUGUCGAACACCAUCCGAGGUCUUGUUUAUGGUUGGCUGCGCAGUGCAAGGAGUGUCGAUAUCAAGGUCCCGUGCAAUGUCAUACUGUGAACCGUGUCAGAGCUUGACCGCAGCAGCACUAAGCAGGCGUUGGCGUGUGCCACGGGGAAACUUUGAAGGAGCCACCUACAUUGUUUCCGCUUCGGUCUUCAUUAUCGAAGAUGGCGCA
Molecule: signal recognition particle RNA, 260 nt
Filed under: human gut metagenome
Also listed under: 1 other name
Description: Bacterial large signal recognition particle RNA
Rfam family: Bacterial large signal recognition particle RNA
About the family: The signal recognition particle (SRP) is a universally conserved ribonucleoprotein involved in the co-translational targeting of proteins to membranes. Archaeal SRP consists of a 7S RNA and homologues of the eukaryotic SRP19 and SRP54 proteins.
Source: RNAcentral